UGGGGAAUAUUGCACAAUGGGCGCAAGCCUGAUGCAGCCAUGCCGCGUGUAUGAAGAAGGCCUUCGGGUUGUAAAGUACUUUCAGCGGGGAGGAAGGUGUUGUGGUUAAUAACCGCAGCAAUUGACGUUACCCGCAGAAGAAGCACCGGCUAACUCCGUGCCAGCAGCCGCGGUAAUACGGAGGGUGCAAGCGUUAAUCGGAAUUACUGGGCGUAAAGCGCACGCAGGCGGUCUGUCAAGUCGGAUGUGAAAUCCCCGGUCUCAACCUGGGAACUGCAUUCGAAACUGGCAGGCUAGAGUCUUGUAGAGGGGGGUAGAAUUCCAGGUGUAGCGGUGAAAUGCGUAGAGAUCUGGAGGAAUACCGGUGGCGAAGGCGGCCCCCUGGACAAAGACUGACGCUCAGGUGCGAAAGCGUGGGGAGCAAACA
This 427-nucleotide ribosomal RNA is filed under the name uncultured bacterium. Its description in RNAcentral is "partial 16S ribosomal RNA". It matches the Rfam family "Bacterial small subunit ribosomal RNA", at positions 355 to 774 of the family's 1533-position model. The record is from RNAcentral.